AUAGUGAAAUCUUCAAAGAGGUGAUUAUAUUUUACCAUUUCAAGCACCAGAAGAACUAUUGUGUGUGUGUGUGUGUGUAUAAGAUCAUGUUUACAUUUGAGGAUGCGUAUGUUUCAUUUAGUUUAUGGGGAAUUGGAAUUUACUCUAUAUUUGUCAAUUGGAUUAAGGAAAUAUUUGUCCCUCAUAUCCCAGGUCAUGUAGGCUCAACGGCUGUGAUAAUGUUUCUUCAUUUGCAGUAUAGGCUUUGCAGUAAAUGAGUUUCUCAACAUCAUCAUGGUGGAAGGAAAACCUGUGGCUUGACAUGGAAUUAAGUGUGAUUACAAUAACUUAAUCUGAUGAAUUUAGAAUUUAGAUUAACCAAUGAGUUGCUUAGUACUCACUAAGGCAAGCCAAGCAGUCUAGGGUUUUUUUUUUGGGGGGCAAU
This 424-nucleotide unclassified non-coding RNA is filed under the name Hevea brasiliensis (rubber tree). The record is from RNAcentral. Lineage: Eukaryota; Viridiplantae; Streptophyta; Magnoliopsida; Malpighiales; Euphorbiaceae.